CAGGACGAACGCUGGCGGCGUGCCUAAUACAUGCAAGUCGAACGGUCUUUCUAUGGAAGCUUGCUCCACUGAGAAGAUAGUGGCGAACGGGUGAGUAACACGUGGGUAACCUGCCCAUAAGAGGGGGAUAACAUCCGGAAACGGGUGCUAAUACCGCAUAGUUUUCUUGAUCGCAUGAUCGGGAAAGGAAAGACGGCCUUUGUGCUGUCGCUUAUGGAUGGACCCGCGGCGUAUUAGUUAGUUGGUGAGGUAACGGCUCACCAAGACGAUGAUACGUAGCCGACCUGAGAGGGUGAUCGGCCACAUUGGGACUGAGACACGGCCCAAACUCCUACGGGAGGCAGCAGUAGGGAAUCUUCCGCAAUGGACGAAAGUCUGACGGAGCAACGCCGCGUGAGUGAAGAAAGGUUUUCGGAUCGUAAAACUCUGUUGUCAGAGAAGAACAAGUUGGAGAGUAACUGCUCCAGCCUUGACGGUAUCUGACCAGAAAGCCACGGCUAACUACGUGCCAGCAGCCGC
Molecule: ribosomal RNA, 519 nt
Filed under: uncultured bacterium
Lineage: Bacteria
Description: bacterial SSU rRNA
Rfam family: Bacterial small subunit ribosomal RNA
Source: RNAcentral